UGACACUGGUGGAGCUGCAGGUCGUGAGGGCUGCCAUCCGAGAGUCCCUGCCUGGGGAGUCUGGCCCACUGAGCCUAGUCUGCCAUGGUGGAGAGCCUGGCCAUGACUCCGUGCUGCAGCGGCUCCUGAGGGAGGGGAUCUGUGAGCCCCACAGCCUUGGUAGCCGGGGGUGAAGAUGUCAUGCAUGAGAUACCUCCUGCAAGAAGCCAGAAGAGCAAAGAAGGCCGUGUGUGUAAAGAGCCCAGUGCUGGUUCCCGAACUCUGUGGGCCCUCGUCUUAUCUCCCCGGCCAGCCCAUCCAUCACGUGACCUCCAGCACUGUGGCCUGUGUGUGCCAGGCCCUCCAAGGAGCUCAGCAAGGAAAGGUCAGGUGAGGACCCCGACCACGCUGCCACCUUCAUCUCGGACUUCUGGCUUCCAGAGCACAAGGAGGGAGUGUUUGCUGUUUAAGCCAUCCAGUCUAUGGUACUUUGUUACAGCAGCCUAAACUGACCAAGACAUCCCUCUUCUGUAUGGCAGAAUUAUUAUCAGUCAUAGUCAAGAGAUAAAACUUAUAAUCAUGUCCAGAAAAAAAAAUGCAGAGUGUAAAGUGUCUUAAAUUGAACUUUGUAUGUAUAAUCAUGGCAUGAUAAAAGUGAAUACUUUUUUUUUUUUUCUUUGAGAUGGAGUUUCACUCUUGUUGCCCAGGCUGGAGUGCAGUGGCGCGAUCUUGGCUCACUGCAACCUCCGCCUCCCGGGUUCAAGCAAUUCUCCUGCCUCUGCCUCCCAGGUAGCUGGGACUACAGGUGCCUGCCACCACACCUGGCUAAUUUUUGUAUUUUUAGUAGAGACGGGGUUUCACCAUGUUGGCCAGGAUAGUCUCAAUCUUUUGACCUCGUGAUCCGCCUGCCUCCGCCUCCCAAAGUGCUGGGAUUACAGGCGUGAGCCACCGCGCCCGGCAUUUUCAUUUUUAAAGAUAGUAUUUAAAAUCAGUAAUAUUUCAUGUAUGAACUAAUAUGUAUAUUUGUCAAACAAAAAAUGUUAUACCUUGAAGUUCACAGUUUUAUCACUUUACAUAUUUUAAACACAAAUAAACAUCCCAAGUGGUCCCAUAGACUGACAGAGUUGAAGUAACUGAUGUUCUGUUUCCUCGUCUUUAUUUUGUUUUCGGUUUUUUUUUUUUUUUUGAGACAGGGUCUUCCUCUGUUGUCCAGGCUGGAGUGCAGUGGUGCAGUCAUAGCUCACUGCAGCCUCAAAUUCCUAGGCUCAAGUGAUUCUUCUACCUCAGCCUCCGCUACCAUACCUGGAUAAUUUUUAUUUUUAUUUUUGCAGAGAUGAUGUCUUACUGUAUUGCCCAGGCUG
Molecule: long non-coding RNA, 1340 nt
Filed under: Homo sapiens (human)
Lineage: Eukaryota; Metazoa; Chordata; Mammalia; Primates; Hominidae
Description: HSALNT0039574
Source: RNAcentral